AUUGAACGCUGGCGGCAGGCCUAACACAUGCAAGUCGAGCGGAUGAAGGGAGCUUGCUCCUGGAUUCAGCGGCGGACGGGUGAGUAAUGCCUAGGAAUCUGCCUGGUAGUGGGGGAUAACGUCCGGAAACGGGCGCUAAUACCGCAUACGUCCUGAGGGAGAAAGUGGGGGAUCUUCGGACCUCACGCUAUCAGAUGAGCCUAGGUCGGAUUAGCUAGUUGGUGGGGUAAAGGCCUAACAAGGCGACGAUCCGUAACUGGUCUGAGAGGAUGAUCAGUCACACUGGCAGUGAGACACGGUCCAGACUCCUACGGGAGGAAGCAGUGGGGAAUAUUGGACAAGGGGGGAAAGGCUGAUACAGCAAUGCCGCGUGUGUGAAGAAGGUCUUCGGAUUGUAAAGCAAUUUAAGUUGGGAGGAAGGGCAGUAAGUUAAUACCUUGCUGUUUUGACGUUACCAACAGAAUAAGCACCGGCUAACUUCGUG
This 484-nucleotide ribosomal RNA is filed under the name uncultured bacterium. RNAcentral describes it as "partial 16S ribosomal RNA". It matches the Rfam family "Bacterial small subunit ribosomal RNA", at positions 30 to 507 of the family's 1533-position model. The record is from RNAcentral.